This 3966-nucleotide long non-coding RNA is filed under the name Triticum aestivum (bread wheat). Its description in RNAcentral is "long non-coding RNA (TAES_LNC021933)". Lineage: Eukaryota; Viridiplantae; Streptophyta; Magnoliopsida; Poales; Poaceae. The record is from RNAcentral.
GAUUGGCAGGAGAGGAGGAGCAGAGCUGACCAACUCUGCUCAAGAUCACCUUUCUACAACAAUGUAAGCAGCUUCCCUUACGAGGUGUACCACGAGAUCAUACUGUACACGAGUGCUUUGGAGAAAAAAUUCCAUCAUUGUGCUACUGAACCUUGGUAUGUCUUGGUUCCGCUUCAGGGUUCAUUUUGUACAUUGAUUAAUAUCACUGCGAAGAACAAGACACUUUGAAGCUCUCUGUAUAUAUAUAUUCUUAGGCUAUGUAGUUGAUACCUUUCUUACUUGAUGGAUUUAUAUAGUUUCAUUCUCUCCAUAGGUAAAUUGUGUAAAUCAUAUAGUAUUUUUGUAGGUGACAAAUUUGUGGGUUCACAUGAGUCCGUGAUUUGUGAUCAGAUUCCUUUUCGUGCUAUGAGGGUAGUAGCUGUAAUAUUUUUGUAAAUAUUAUUCUUUUAUUUGAUAGUAGGUCCAAUAACUUGCUAAUACAAGCUUCAGGUCUGACAGAUUUAAAAAAAUAUGUUUCUCUAUCUGUAUUUUCAAUGUGAUCGGUUCCCCUAUUAUGUUAAAGUUUAUAAGAUAAUUUUUGUUACUCCAUUUACUUUGUAUGUUAGUUUCUUAUUGUAUGUCUGUUGUUCCGCCAACAGAGGAGCGCCGGGGAGAGAACCCAUUGGAUGCAGAAGCGUGAAGGAGUCCAUACAGUGCAGGCUGGUCAACUGUGAGGUUAGUAGCAUGCAAACUACUGGCUAGCUCUUGUGAUAAGUGAUACGUUUCAGUUAACUCCUUGUUCAUGCAAGCUAAUCUAACGGAUUACUUGCUAGCUACAUAUAUAUGACUUGUGUACACAUAGUCUGGAUGUUAUGUAUGGGAAAAUGAAAUAAAACAAUAUAUAAAUAUGUGAAUCUGUGCCUCUUAUUUAUUUUUUAUUGACGAGCAUGGCAGGAGCUCUAUCAAUUUUAUUAAAGAUAGGAAAAAGAAACAAAAUACUUAGUUCCUUGGUUUAUGUCUUUUUAUUUUAUUUUACCAUUUUCUCAGUGUGUUAUGAGUCGUCGUUGCCCAUACAGUUGUGGUUUCGUAAACCAAAAUAACGCUUUGCCUCUGUGUGGUGCCUCGACACAUCAUAUAUACAUGGAUAGUGAAAUCUCAGGUCUACCUUAUUCACGUAGUUAUUCGCAAAAAAAAAACAAUCUUAUCAGCAGGUGAGACUCGGCACAUGCUUGGUUGAGUAACCAUAGACUCACCAAUUUAGUCUAUGUAUUCUUACACUGGCCAUACAACAAAAAAAUGUGUGUUCAUUGACCCGUUUGUUCGAAAUAAAAAAUUGUACCUCGUACCUUAAAACUGACCGUCGAUUGCUUCUCAUUUUUAUUGUUUCCAAUAAUGUUAUUUUUGCAUCUUUAUGUUGGCCUGUGUGCCUGUAUGUUCCUUUGCUGCUCAUUUAUCAAUCACAUAUUUAUGUUUUCUCUAUACCAUUUCCAAACACUCAUGUUUACCAUACUGUUGUGAGAAUUUUUGGCGGAAUAAUUCUUGAUAUUAUCUUGGAAUUCCUAGAGCUAUUUAUCGGAGGAGGAUGUACUCGCAUAACACAAUGACUGUCACUAUGCUUUUCUACCGGAGAAAGAUGCACACAUUUGAGUAUUUCUGUUAGCCAUCUUGGUAAACAAAUGUUUGUUGUUUCCUUUGUUUAUUUCCAUUGGCAAAACAUUGCUUAUCAAUGAUUGGAACUAUGCUUCCAGCAGUAUCACUUGCCAUGAUGAGCUACACCAUUGAUUCUUAUUUUGUGUACUUGUCAAGGCUGCUAUCUCAUUUUGUCACUUCCCUUUUGUAGUCUUUUGUAUGCCUUGCUUUCGGUACUAUACUCUCCAGCUGCCUUUUGUAGUGUGCUACUUGGUUUUCGGUCCCUUUCUUUGUCAAUGACUUGCCCUAAUUAUUACCAAUGAUAUUUAGACUUGUGGGAUGUGUUGCUUUGUAUAUGAACAACUUGUUGUAAUCCCGAUCCUGUAUCAUUCCUUUUUACUCGUAUAGGUUUUGUUUUCUACAACCUCUGUUUGCAUUACAACUUCGAAGUAGAUAGGAUGUGGUAUGAUUACAAUUACGAUUUAGCACUGAUUGCGUGGGUAUGGCAAAGGCGACAACAAUUUUUAGUAUCACCCUUUUUUGAUUUUUAUGUCAUGUUGAUUACAUCCGGUCAUUGCAUUCACUGGGAGGAGACAUUGCGCUAUGCAUGACACCCAGUCUGGCCAGCCUUUGCAACUGUCAGCAACCUAUUUGUUCUUCUCCUUAGCCAGACCCGAUUCUUCGACUGGUUUAACUUGCAUAGUAGUUCUGUUUAGAUUACAGUUUUAGAUUCCUCCACUCUUUGCUAUGAUUAGGUUAAUUUCUAACAAAUGGGAUGAUGAUCUGGAUGAAUACUAUUUCGGUAUUGCUACCAUUAUGGUUCCACUCAUGAAUAAUUGAAAAUAACUGGAUGAUCCAUCGCAAGCAAUCGUUCUAAUUCCUAUUUGGCAACCUUGAAUAGCCCGAUGUGUUUCGAUUUGGUAGGCUUGGUUCCCUCCCUAAUUGUGUGCAUCAUCAUGGUGUUUGCUUGUUGUUCUAAAGUUUCAACUGCAUGGCUACUAUUGGGUUGGCUUCUUAUAAGUUAUGGGAGAGAGUGAGAGUGUGGGCUUGGUCACGGAGAUCUCUUUUAUUUAUUUGCUGGUACCUGAUAGUUUUUCAUGUUCCCUUGUGAGAUCUUAGUGAAAAUAAUGAUUUUAUUUGCUGUGCGGGCGGGCGGGUGCAGAGAAGAAGAACCUCAACUCGGAGCUCUUGUUUCUUCUCAGUAUAUAUGUACAGAUUAUAAAUAUAAUAAAUAUAUGUGUCCUUUUUUCCUCUUUCUCUCCUCUGGUUUUACCGCCGAACUGGGUGGCCUUGAUGAAUGAUGUUGGCUUAUUUUAGAGAAAAUCUUUCUAAAUAAAUACUUGAUAAAUGAUGUUGGUUUAUUUUAGAGAGAAUCUUUCUAAGUGAAUAUACACUGAAAAGAGGUUUCAAUUUCUUAAUAGUACAUGUUCAAAUUGUUGUUGUAUGUGACCUUAGAUAGAAGGAUGUGCACUUGUGAUUAUCCCUUUCCCUUUUUGUAUCAGAGCUUUGUGCUAAAAAACUGCUUUGGUGCCGAGACAAUUACCUUGCAAUAUUAAUCUUGGCUGAAAUUGUGCACCUUUACUAGAUCAAUCAUGUUUGUCAGUGUUAAAUAAUUAGGCACAUAAUAAGAUGAGAUCAUAGUGUAAUCAAGUUUUGUGCCUAAAGAAAAUCUUGGAGGAUAUCUAUGUAUAGUAGGCUUAUUAUGUUUUCUGGGUGCCUUGUGGAAUACUAAGAUAAAAUAAAUUUAAUUUCAUUUUUAUAUUCUUUUAUGUUAAAGAGGCUACUUUGUAUCCAGAUCACUUAAUAUUAUCCAAAGUGAUUCUCUUUCAUACAGACCAAAUUAGUUCCUCGCUGUCCAUGAGACGCACUAUUUGAAUAGUUUGCCUAACAUGACAUGUCCUUUAGCAGAUCCAUGCGUUGAAACAUGCAAGCAAAUCAAAUGAAGGAGUGUGGACAAAGUUAUAUAUCAAGCAAAUCGGAUGAAGGCGUGUGGACAAAGUUAUAUAUCUAACAGUCAACCAUGUAGUUUACUAUUAUGCAGUAUGAAAAACAGUGUAAACAAGUUAUCUGAGACUAAUACUGCUAUGGCCUGCUUUUGGUUUCUAUCAUACCAAAACCUUGCUUAGGUAUUUCAUGUCACAUUUUAUAACAAAUGCGCUGAUGGCAUGUAGAUAGGGCCAUUUUUAGAUAUUUUACAUGGUGAUUACUGUUGUGAGUAUCUACCAACACCUACUCUUUGAGUAAUAUCAGAUAUAUUUCUAUCCUGAGAUAUAGAGUAAUAUCAGAUGUUAAUCGGAAAAGAGUUAUAUCAGAGGUUUGAUCAUUGAACUUUUUUUAUUCCAUCCUGAUUAAGUUGUC